UGCAAGGCCAUACAGAAUAAAAUUGUCUUGUUUCCAAGGCUUUGUCUCAGGCUGAAUUUGUGAGCAGGGACUGUUUCUCACAAUUUGGGGGCUCGUCCAGAAUCCGACACUCCAACCGCUCGACAUUCUUGGGACGACGGGGAAGGCGCGCCUCGCCGAUUUCGGCGAUCUCCAACUCCCUUGUUUGUCGUUUGCAGUUUGGGUGGUGCGAUCCGGACUGGGAGACCCUGGAAACAAGACGGGUAGACGCGGCGGGUCCGGUCGGGUAACUCUUGUGCACAGGACCCGGGUCAGGAAAGGUCUUAAAGAUCUGACCGGGUGACCGGGGGAACACUGCAGGUAUUGCCGGGGGGACGUACAGGAAGUACGGGGACUGGGCAACCGGGGGAGCAGCUGUAUUCGCUGCGGUGUCGCUGCGGGGGCGUACGGAAAGUACGGGGAAGAGUUAUAAUGACCAGGUAACUCCGUGCACGGACCAAGAUAUAUCCAAGAGCACUGCAAGAAGCUAGAGAAGAAAUUGCAGGGGCCAGGCUGAUAAAUAUGCCAAAGUGAAAAUAACAUCAAGGAACAGAGCAACCUGACAACCUGGCUUAUCAACAAUCAAGAAACUCUACAACUAAAUCGAGUACUUUGAAUGAAGUUUGGUGAUUGUAAGGUUUGUUCUGUAUCAUUUGUUCCAAGACUCCAAGCAAAACUCUGUUGCAAGCGCAAAGCCACUAAGUAGCAUUAACACCAUGAUGUGUGGAGCUGAAACUACUUCGCUGUCAUGCAAACAAACCGUUCCAUUUUAAUCUCCUUAUUAGAUGAGUCGAGGAUUACUGGAGAACGGGUUGCAAAUCCACAGCAGACAAACUGGCAGGCAGAGUUUCAACAUUGUGUAGACACAGCACAUGGAGGAGUCCUUAAAAAUGAACUCUUUUAAAGGCAAGUUAUACAUACGGGGAUCUCCGAUUUACGAACAGCUAACUUACCUACAAGUGAAAUCUUUUGCAACUUACACAAAAUAUGUAUAAUUUUAAAA
Long non-coding RNA from Stegostoma tigrinum, 1021 nucleotides. RefSeq lists it as uncharacterized. The transcript is spliced from 5 exons. NCBI's taxonomy places the organism in Eukaryota, Metazoa, Chordata, Chondrichthyes, Orectolobiformes, Stegostomatidae. The record is from RefSeq and is a predicted model, not a curated record.